This 516-nucleotide ribosomal RNA is filed under the name uncultured bacterium. Its description in RNAcentral is "bacterial SSU rRNA". It matches the Rfam family "Bacterial small subunit ribosomal RNA", at positions 62 to 555 of the family's 1533-position model. The record is from RNAcentral.
UCGAGCGGUAACAGACAUCUUGAUUUUGCUUGCAAAAUCUCGUGCUGACGAGCGGCGAACGGGUGAGUAACGCGUAGGAAUCUACCUAGUAGAAGGGGAUAGCCCGAGGAAACUCGGAUUAAUACCGUAUACGUCCUUAGGGAGAAAGAGGGCUUAGCUUUGAUGCUCUCGCUAUUAGAUGAGCCUGCGUAAGAUUAGCUUGUUGGUGAGGUAAAGGCUCACCAAGGCGACGAUCUUUAGCUGGUCUGAGAGGACGAUCAGCCACAUUGGGACUGAGACACGGCCCAGACUCCUACGGGAGGCAGCAGUGGGGAAUAUUGGACAAUGGGCGCAAGCCAGAUCCAGCCAUACCGCGUGUGUGAAGAAGGCCUUCGGGUUGUAAAGCACUUUAAGUAAGGAAGAAAAGAGUAUUGUUAAUACCAAUACUCCGUGACAUUACUUACAGAAUAAGGACCGGCUAAUUCCGUGCCAGCAGCCGCGGUAAUACGGAAGGUCCAAGCGUUAAUCGGAAUUACU